UGGUCUUAGCUUGCUAAGGCUGAUGGCGACCGGCGCACGGGUGAGUAACACGUAUCCCACUCUGCCGUCUACUCUUGGCCAGCCUUCUGAAAGGAAGAUUCAUCCAGGAUGGGAUCAUGAGUUCACAUGUCCGCAUGAUUAAAGGUAUUUUCCGGUAGACGAUGGGGAUGCGUUCCAUUAGAUAGUAGGCGGGGUAACGGCCCACCUAGUCAACGAUGGAUAGGGGUUCUGAGAGGAAGGUCCCCCACAUUGGAACUGAGACACGGUCCAAACUCCUACGGGAGGCAGCAGUGAGGAAUAUUGGUCAAUGGGCGAUGGCCUGAACCAGCCAAGUAGCGUGAAGGAUGACUGCCCUAUGGGUUGUAAACUUCUUUUAUAAAGGAAUAAAGUCGGGUAUGCAUACCCGUUUGCAUGUACUUUAUGAAUAAGGAUCGGCUAACUCCGUGCCAGCAGCCGCGGUAAUACGGAGGAUCCGAGCGUUAUCCGGAUUUAUUGGGUUUAAAGGGAGCGUAGAUGGAUGUUUAAGUCAGUUGUGAAAGUUUGCGGCUCAACCGUAAAAUUGCAGUUGAUACUGGAUGUCUUGAGUGCAGUUGAGGCAGGCGGAAUUCGUGGUGUAGCGGUGAAAUGCUUAGAUAUCACGAAGAACUCCGAUUG
Molecule: ribosomal RNA, 654 nt
Filed under: uncultured Bacteroides sp.
Lineage: Bacteria; Pseudomonadati; Bacteroidota; Bacteroidia; Bacteroidales; Bacteroidaceae
Description: bacterial SSU rRNA
Rfam family: Bacterial small subunit ribosomal RNA
Source: RNAcentral